UCUGUGGGGCGCUCGAGCCGGAAGACGGACACGAGUGCUCACCGCGAUGUGCCCCUUGCGGGGGGCAGCACCUCACGGGCGACCGAAGCUGCAAAAAACGCCUGAAGCAAACACGACCACAAGACCGACCGAGAAGCGGAGCGCACAAAGCUGCUCAACAACACCGACCCCGGUGGUUUGCAACAGAAGAAGAAGAAUUGUAGCUCAGUGACUUUCCGGUGCUCCCUCAACGGCAAGAGAGGACCCCCUCCAAAUUCAGACAAGGAACAUCGAGAUCCAGAUCGAGAUCGCGUACCAGGCGGCGGAGUCGUCAGAGAUCUAGGUCAACGUCCUUGGCACGCAAUGUCAAGCCUCUAGCCCCCAAACAGGAGAGGGCUCCGCAGGCUAAACAUCAGGCGGCGGCCAUCGCCUCACAACAGAAUCAGAGAACGACCCCAGUUACCAUACACGGUUCCUCGUAACAUCCAGUCGGAGGAAGGUGAGGACGCCAAAAGCCUGCAGUGCGUCGAGUCGGCUCGCCGGCACAACAGCAGCUUCACCGUCCAUCUGCUGUCAGCCGGGAGCAUCGAUCAGCGCCUCCGAAUGUCCCUAUACCACGGCGUACUUUCGAAAAAUGCCAAAUUUUCGGUCUGCGGUGAUAAACGCGAGUGCCAUAUACUUGUGGGUACACCGCCGGCAUAAGCGGUGCUGCACAGAACAUCUGGGUGACUUUCUGCGCUUCGCCUUGCUUUGGAUCCACGGUGGUGUUCGUGUGGACUUAGACGUGAGUUUAACGGAGUCGCUGGAAUUCGGGAUAAAGAAUAUAUGUUCUACGAGGCCGACUGUAUUAUAUAGAGAGUCGGCUAGCACUGUACUAUUCUUCGACAAGCGUCAUCCCGCCCUCUGAGCGCAGAUCGACGAGUGCGCACGUAUGUACACAGUCCUGAUGUAUGGAAGCUUAUAGCAGGACCUGCAUUGGUGUCAACGCUUCUUUCAGACGCUGUAUUCUCUCGCAUCGUAAAUAUUGCUAGUUUCGUCGGCGUUCAUUCCUGUUUACGUAUCCAGGACGGGAGAGCUUGUUCAUUCCCGGACAUGCGUCAGAUGUACUAAAAAGGAUAAACGGCAGCUACGGCGUCCGCUUCUGGAACGGCGCGAGCAGAGGGAAACGAGCGGUGCCUCUGCUGCGGGUCUGGUUGUGCGUUGGACCUCCUCGCUCGUGCCCGCUUGCCCCAUCGUGUGCAAAUUAGCGUCCUCUGAUGGGGAGCAUUGAAUCAGUCGCGUCCCGCAAUGACAGCCUAUAUAUACUCUGUGCCUGCUAAAGGAAGCCGUCGUGAUGAUUUUGUUGUUAUACUCUUCCGGGACUGACGCCAUUGCUCGGUCGCAGCACAUGAUGGGCUACAGCAAUCAGUUCUAGCACACUUCGCGUUACUACGCGAGAGAUCUGGCCAGUAAAGCGGCUGUCAUAAUUUACCGCAGUUGAAAUCCCGCGUGCAUAUUUCGCAAUAUGUGGCAUUCUAUGAAUUGCUUUCAAUCUUUAUACUUUGCAGUAAUGCCUUAUCGAAAACGAGAUGUAAGGCGGACUUUCACGAUGCUCGGUGCGCAUCAUUCGAUGUCCGCUAUUUACAAUCUAUACGACGAACGUAGUCGCGAAAAGGGUAUUAGGAGAGACGCUUCAAUGAUGAAGUUUGCCAAGGAAAAUAAACCCUGCGUAGAGUGCUAAAAAAAAAAGGGGGGGGGGGGGAAUGCGCUGUAGUUAUUGCUUGCGUGUUCAUAUUUUGCAUCAUUGAAACUAUUCCGUGACGUAUCAGGACAAAUCGACGUAUCAAAUGUUAGAGGUCCAAAAGUAUAGCGCUGCGUUUUGAGCUGGGUUAUGCAACACUCGAAACCGUCUAUGCUCAAAACAAGCUCCUGUGAGGUGACUUACGACGACUUAAGGCGGAGUAAAGUGAAUUAAAGUGAGAUUAAUGAAGAUGAAUUAAAGUGGAUCAAGUUGGAUUGAAGUGGAUUAAGGUUGCUAGAAAUUAGAGAAAGGUAGAAUAAAGAGGAUUAAGGUGGAUUAAGGUUGGCAGAAAUUAGAGCAAGGCAGAUUAAGUACAGUUGUGAAGGACACGUAAAAAUGUUGGACGUCACGUAUCACAGACGUAACCAAUUAAUUGAAGAAAUUAAAAUGCUUUGGAAUUCAAAUCACGUAAGGAUACUUAAGAGACUGUCAAUUUUUCUUAUAUGCGCCCAACAAGAGCGGCUGUUUCAAUAAUUUUCAUUUUUCCCCAUUCAAUUCUUUUAAGUUCUUUUUCUCCUGGGCAAUAUACUGGCAAACACUUAUGUUCUCGAUAAUAAUAUUGUGCUAUCGGGAUUUUCAGUUUUUGUUUGUUUCGUGCCGUUGUUUACGAUGUUACAGUGCCACUGCUAUGUAUGUAUGAAAUUGUCCUUGCAGAUAUUUUUUUUAUCUUGAUGACAUGUUACUCGCUUAACUCACUUACCCAUUGUAACAUCCACUCUUACCGAAGGCCUGGUAAUAAAGCCUGUAGUUAUAAAUAAAUAAAAAAAUGAUGAAACCCUA
This is a non-coding RNA of Dermacentor andersoni, 2539 nucleotides long. The record is from RefSeq and is a predicted model, not a curated record. NCBI's taxonomy places the organism in Eukaryota, Metazoa, Arthropoda, Arachnida, Ixodida, Ixodidae.